This 773-nucleotide ribosomal RNA is filed under the name uncultured bacterium. Its description in RNAcentral is "bacterial SSU rRNA". It matches the Rfam family "Bacterial small subunit ribosomal RNA", at positions 8 to 798 of the family's 1533-position model. The record is from RNAcentral.
AGAGUUUGAUCAUGGCUCAGGACGAACGCUGGCGGCGUGCUUAACACAUGCAAGUCGAACGGAAAGGCCCUUCGGGGUACUCGAGUGGCGAACGGGUGAGUAACACGUGGGUGAUCUGCCCUGCACUUUGGGAUAAGCCUGGGAAACUGGGUCUAAUACCGAAUAGGACCACGCGCUUCAUGGUGUGUGGUGGAAAGCUUUUGCGGUGUGGGAUGGGCCCGCGGCCUAUCAGCUUGUUGGUGGGGUAAUGGCCUACCAAGGCGACGACGGGUAGCCGGCCUGAGAGGGUGACCGGCCACACUGGGACUGAGAUACGGCCCAGACUCCUACGGGAGGCAGCAGUGGGGAAUAUUGCACAAUGGGCGCAAGCCUGAUGCAGCGACGCAGCGUGAGGGAUGACGGCCUUCGGGUUGUAAACCUCUUUCAAUAGGGACGAAGCGCAAGUGACGGUACCUAUAGAAGAAGCACCGGCCAACUACGUGCCAGCAGCCGCGGUAAUACGUAGGGUGCGAGCGUUGUCCGGAAUUACUGGGCGUAAAGAGCUCGUAGGUGGUUUGUCGCGUUGUUCGUGAAAACUCACAGCUUAACUGUGGGCGUGCGGGCGAUACGGGCAGACUAGAGUACUGCAGGGGAGACUGGAAUUCCUGGUGUAGCGGUGGAAUGCGCAGAUAUCAGGAGGAACACCGGUGGCGAAGGCGGGUCUCUGGGCAGUAACUGACGCUGAGGAGCGAAAGCGUGGGGAGCGAACAGGAUUAGAUACCCUGGUAGUCCAA